Molecule: ribosomal RNA, 274 nt
Filed under: uncultured bacterium
Lineage: Bacteria
Description: partial 16S ribosomal RNA
Rfam family: Bacterial small subunit ribosomal RNA
Source: RNAcentral
AUACGAAGGGUGCGAGCGUUAAUCGGAAUUACUGGGCGUAAAGCGCGCGUAGGCGGUUGGAUAAGUCGGAUGUGAAAGCCCCGGGCUCAACCUGGGAAUUGCAUUCGAAACUGUCCGGCUAGAGUAUGGUAGAGGGAAGCGGAAUUCCACAUGUAGCGGUGAAAUGCGUAGAUAUGUGGAGGAAAACCAGUGGCGAAGGCGGCUUCCUGGACCAAUACUGACGCUGAGGUGCGAAAGCGUGGGGAGCAAACAGGAUUAGAAACCCUAGUAGUCC